RNAcentral lists this ribosomal RNA (253 nucleotides) under uncultured bacterium. Its description in RNAcentral is "partial 16S ribosomal RNA". It matches the Rfam family "Bacterial small subunit ribosomal RNA", at positions 524 to 776 of the family's 1533-position model. The record is from RNAcentral.
UACAGAGGUCCCAAGCGUUGUUCGGAUUUACUGGGCGUAAAGGGUGCGUAGGUGGUCGGGUAAGUCUCAUGUGAAAUCUCCAAGCUUAACUUGGAAAUGGCAUGGGAUACUAUUCGGCUAGAGGAUUGGAGGGGGGACUGGAAUUCCCGGUGUAGCAGUGAAAUGCGUAGAUAUCGGGAGGAACACCAGUGGCGAAGGCGAGUCCCUGGACAAUUCCUGACGCUGAGGCACGAAGGUCAGGGGAGCAAACGGG